This is a long non-coding RNA of Sphaeramia orbicularis (orbiculate cardinalfish), 299 nucleotides long. RefSeq lists it as uncharacterized. The transcript is spliced from 3 exons. Lineage: Eukaryota; Metazoa; Chordata; Actinopteri; Kurtiformes; Apogonidae. The record is from RefSeq and is a predicted model, not a curated record.
UUUAGAAAAAAAAAAAGUCUAAUGUAAAUGUACAAAACUAUGCUUGACAUAUUAUAACAACUUGUUCAACCAUUUUGCAUGUAGAGACUUAUGCAAUGAACUAAUGCCUAAAUGUUGUGUGUGGGGGGAUGAGACUAUUCAACCGAGACUAUUACAAUACAUUUGGAUCAACAUGACAUAAGCAAUUGAUCAUGUAGGAAACAGCAGAGAAUUGUACAUAAUCAUUUGCAUGGAUGUACCAAAGCAUUUGCAACUUGUUCAAAGAAAUGAGAAAGUGCUUUCUAAAAUGUGCAAUAUAA